UACGUAGGGGGCAAGCGUUAUCCGGAUUUACUGGGCGUAAAGCGCGUGUAGGCGGUUGCGCAAGUUGGUUGUGAAAUCUCCCGGCUCAACCGGGAAACUGCAGCCAAAACUGCGCGGCUAGAGUGGCAGAGAGGAAAGUGGAAUUCCCGGUGUAGUAGUGAAAUGCGUAGAUAUCGUGAGGAACACCAGCGGCGAAGGCGACUUUCUGGCUGCUAACUGACGCUGAGACGCGAAAGCGUGGGGAGCGAACAGG
Molecule: ribosomal RNA, 253 nt
Filed under: uncultured bacterium
Lineage: Bacteria
Description: partial 16S ribosomal RNA
Rfam family: Bacterial small subunit ribosomal RNA
Source: RNAcentral